Molecule: transfer RNA, 53 nt
Filed under: Campylobacter jejuni
Lineage: Bacteria; Pseudomonadati; Campylobacterota; Epsilonproteobacteria; Campylobacterales; Campylobacteraceae
Description: tRNA-Ser
Rfam family: tRNA
About the family: Transfer RNA (tRNA) molecules are approximately 80 nucleotides in length. Their secondary structure includes four short double-helical elements and three loops (D, anti-codon, and T loops).
Source: RNAcentral
GCAUCUCCCUUUUAAGGAGGGGGCCGUUGGUUCGAAUCCAACACGGGACACCA